GACAAUCCAAAUAUUACGCGUUUGAUGUGCUUGGUAAUGGUUAUUGGUUGGUCUCUCGCAAUCUUAACCCUUUUCCACCAUGUCAGAUACCCAGCCACACCACCACGCCAAUUCGCGCAAACAAAUCAAUUCAUCCGUUAAUUGACGCUCCAUUCCUUUCGAUUUCUUUCUGUUCGGUUCGAUUUGGCUUUAUAUCUAUAUUAUCUCCCUCCUUUUUUGGAUCAACAUUUUCAUGCACGAAUUUCAUUUUGUGCUUUUUACAAUGUCGCUCAUGCAUGAAUCGUGAUAGAUAAAUAUGUGUUAGGCAAUGCUUAUUGUGGCUAGUUGUUAGAAGAUUUGGAAUAAGGGUAUUAGUACAAGAGAAUUGCUGUUUGUGUUUUCAUCUAUGUUUGGAGGCGCUGCCAUUCCCGCUCAUAGUCCACACUUACGCAAAUCUGGGAGCAGACCUGUUGUUUAUGAUCUUGAUGACAAUGAGGUGGAAAAUGGUGUUGAGGAAGGUUUAUUGCAUCCCGUGGAGGCAGCUGAUUCAAAGAGUGGUACAAUACCAGUGAGUGCAGCUGCAAUAAUGCCCUCGCCCAUUUUGUUGCUGAGAUUCAAGGUACUCUUGUUCCUUAUGUGGGGCUUCAUCUGUUGCAAGAUUGGAUGGGAUUCUGUCAUGAGAAUGAGUGCAGACAAGCGGGAUUUAUUUCUAUAUGAAGCAUUUUUGUAUUUUAACCCUCUUCUUCUUACGGCUUUGAUGGUGUGGCUGUGGGGAAUCAAUUUAUGGUUUUUUGCUCAGGGUGGAGUCAAUUAUGCAAAAAUAUUUGAUCUUGAUCAAAAUCAUCUGACUCACCGAGAAAUAUGGAAGUGUGCCACAUGGAUGACAAUUAUUGUUCCAACCAGUAUGACAGCAUAUAUUUAUCUUUAUUCUCAUGGAGAGGUCUCAUAUGCUGCAUCGCAACCAGUGCUCUUAUAUGCUGCUGUUGUAAUGGUUUUGAUAUUCCCCUAUGAUAUCUUUUAUUUUUCACCUAGAUAUUACUUCUUAAGGACACUCUGGCGAAUAGUUCUCCCGGUACAGGUGAUAUCAUUCUCCGAUUUUUUCUUGGCUGAUAUUUUAACUUCCAUGGCAAAGGUCUUUUCUGAUUUGGAGCGUUCAGUAUGUAGAAUGGUCCAUCGACAGGUUGCCACAAUUGCUUGGUUAGAAGCUGAUUCUGUUUGUGGCAGUCACUCUGUUGCAAUCCCUUUAGUUCUUGUUUUGCCUUAUCUUUUCCGCUUAAACCAGUGUCUCCGGCAGUACAAAGAUACUGGAGAGAAAACUACUCUUCUGAAUGCUUUAAAAUAUUCAACAGCAGUGCCUGUGAUUUUUCUUUCUGCCCUUAAAUAUCACGUCUUCCCUGAUAGGUGGACAAACUUUUAUAGGCCUCUCUGGCUUCUGUCAAGUGUUGUGAACUCAUCAUACUCUUUCUACUGGGAUGUGACUCGAGAUUGGGACCUAAGUGGAUUCACUCGAAUAUUCAAGUUCAGCAAGCCACAUCUGUUCUCACAUAUGUUACAUGGAAGGAGAUGGGUUUACUUUUGGGUGAUUGGAAGCAAUCUGAUUUUGCGUUGCACAUGGACAUAUAAGCUGUCUGCCCAUCUUCGUCAUAAUUACUUCACAGUGUUCAUAAUUGCUGCUUUGGAGAUUUUCCGCCGCUUCCAGUGGAUCUUUUUCCGGGUUGAAAAUGAGUGGAACAAGAUGAAUUCCAAAUCAUACCCACAGCUCGCAAUGGGUGAAAUCUCAAAUGAUGAAGAGAAAUUACUUCAUUCCAUUAACCACAGUGUAUAGGCUAGAGAACAGUAUGAUGCUUUGCCAUUGUCAUACAAGGUAUAUUUCAAAUGUUUUGAUGAUAGGGGGUCUCCAUUCCUUUUGUUCAUUCCAUUGGUUUCCCUUCGGUUAUAAAUGUCAUUCUUUAUUCACAAAAAGAACAGUCUAUUCUUCCUGUGCUCUUAAGUAAUAUCUUGUCCUACACGGUAACAAUUAUAUCAUGUAUAUCAAGCCUUCUGGUUAAUAGCAUCGUUUAUAUAUGGAGACCAGUUGUAUCCACAGUAUCUCUCAGGUGUUCAUUACGUUCUGAAAAAUCUGAUAUCGUAUAACGGAACAAGCCUUAAAUAUAGUAGUAUUGAUAGUCUAUCUGGGUUGAAAGUUGGCUGCAUGGCACAUCCUUUACCAAUUCUACAAGCCAACACCAGCAAAAUUGGACUUUCCCCUUGCUUUUUGGCCAGUAGCCAUCAUUUUAUACCAUUAUAAACCAGCUGAAGUAACGCUAUUAUGUAAUGACUUAAUCACUGUUUCGACAUUUAUGCCUCUAAAAUGUCCUUCGUGGGGGCCUAGAAUUUGCAGGGUACGAAGACGGACCUCCAGUUUUGUUUACACACGAACCAGCCAUGCCACGUUCACGUUGCCAGACUGUAUAUUCUUAGGCAUCGCUUGUUUUUUUCCUAAGACAAGCCACAUAUUAUAGGUGGGGACCCAUGUUAAAGAAUAUUAGUGGCUCGAGAUUUCCAAAGAAAAGGAUGCUAAACUUUCAAUCGCAAUCUUUAAACAUCGUUAGUGAUAGAGCCACACACCUCAGCCAUAUAGUGAGUGGUUCCUCCAAACUAGAUAACAAGCAGGGUUCUAGUUAACGCCCUCUUAGCCUUUAACCACUCAAAUUGCAACCAUGAGCAUUAAUAGAUGUAUCUUCCUCUGGUGAAACCCCCGCGAUGGCCUAAAUGUUAACAACAGGUGAAUACAGCAACCAUAGCCGGCAGCUGCAGCCGGAAACAAGCCCGGCCGAGCUGAACUUGCCGAGAGUGCUUUCUGUGCUGUCUUCCACGUUAGAAAAGUUGGUUGCUCGUAAUGAAAAGCUCGUGGAUGUCCUAAACCAGCAGCUAGAUGGUCUGAGCAUUGGCUCAGUAAGAGUCGGGAAGAGCUUGAAUGCAUUUCAUGGCGUAAGAGCACCAAGCAUAAGCAUACCUAAGUACCUGGAGAGGAUAUACAAAUACACUAAUUGUAGCCCUUCAUGUUUCGUGGUUGGCUAUGUUUAUAUAGACAGGUUGGCACAUCGGCACCCUGAUUCUCUUGUCACAUCCUUGAAUGUGCACAGAUUGUUAGUUACCAGUGUCAUGGUCGCUUCCAAGAUGCUGGAUGAUGAACAUUAUAACAACGCGGUAUAUGCUAGAAUAGGAGGAGUGAGCAAUGCUGAAUUGAACAAGCUUGAAUUGGAAUUACUCUUUCUGUUGGAUUAUAGAGUUAUGGUAAGCUCUCGGGUUUUUGAGAGCUACUGUUUUCACUUAGAAAAAGAGAUGAUUGUCAAUGGCACGGGCCUGAAAAUUGAAAGGGAAUUGUCACCAAAGGCUAUAGAUUACCAUGAAGCUGAAAUAUCAGUUGAAGAUAAACGAAGCUCUUCCCCACCUCAAAUUGUGGAUUGUGGACUAACCUGAGUCUUUGGUUGUUUGUCAAUUUUAGGCCCCAUGCCCUCCUUAGUCCUUCCCUUCCCCUUCAUGAUUGGGCAAUUAUUGCAUUAUUCAUGGCCCAAUUUCGUUUCUUGUAUUUCAUGUCCAUGUCAAAGCUUGUGACACCUUUUUCCUUCCUGCAGAAAAAGUACGAGACUGAUAUGUAUGAUUCAUAAGAAGUACAUCAAUU
RNA transcript from Abrus precatorius (Indian licorice), 3643 nucleotides. It is a transcript of the gene named SPX and EXS domain-containing protein 1-like, with no coding region annotated. Lineage: Eukaryota; Viridiplantae; Streptophyta; Magnoliopsida; Fabales; Fabaceae. The transcript is spliced from 15 exons. The record is from RefSeq and is a predicted model, not a curated record.